GAUGAAGAACGUAGCGAAAUGCGAUAACUAAUGUGAAUUGCAGAAUUCCGUGAAUCAUCGAGUCUUUGAACGCACAUUGCGCCCCCUGGUAUUCCGGGGGGCAUGCCUGUCCGAGCGUCAUUGCUGCCCAUCAAGCACGGCUUGUGUGUUGGGUCCUCGUCCCCCCCGGGGGAUGUGCCCGAAAGGCAGCGGCGGCACCGCGUCCGGUCCUCGAGCGUAUGGGGCUUUGUCACCCGCUCUGCAGGCCCGGCCGGCGCUGGCCGACGCGAAAGCAACCAUUUUUUCUCCAGGUUGACCUCGGAUCAGGUAGGGAUACCCGCUGAACUUAAGCAUAUCAAUAAGCGGAGGA
Molecule: unclassified non-coding RNA, 349 nt
Filed under: soil metagenome
Description: partial contains 5.8S ribosomal RNA, internal transcribed spacer 2, and large subunit ribosomal RNA
Rfam family: 5.8S ribosomal RNA (bases 1-120)
Source: RNAcentral